ACGAAUCAAAGGGGUUCACUCCAGUGUACUGAGGAGGAUCCUCGGGGUGCCACUGGUUAGCGAGCUCCUCCGGAUCCCACUGAUAAACAGACUGUCGAUAAGGGUCAAGUGGUGGCUCCGGCUCAGCCUCUAGAGCGGGUGUGAGGCUCCAGUACGCAUAAAUGGCCUCCGGCAGGAUGAGGUAUGCUACCUCUUGAGCACUGCGUUGGUUUUCCCUUGAAGAGGAAAGGGUGAUGCAGUAAAGUAGCGUAAGUAUUUCCCUCAGUUUUUGAGAACCAAGGUAUCAAUCCAGUAGGAGGCCAUGCCCAAGUCCCUCGCACCUACACAAACAAAUAUAAACCUCGCAACCAACGCAAUAAAGGGGUUGUCAAUCCCUUCACGGUCACUUACGAAAGUGAGAUCUGAUAGAUAUGACAAGAUAAUAUUUUUGGUAUUUUAUAAUAAAGACUAAAAGUAAAGAAAACAAAAUAAACGGCGCCAGAAAUAGCAUGUUGACGGGAGAUUAAUAUGAUGGAAAAUAGACCCAGGGGCCAUAGGUUUCACUAGUGGCUUCUCUCAAGAGCGUAAGUAUUACAGUGGGUGAACAAAUUACUGUUGAGCAAUUGAUAGAACUGAGCAUAGUUAUGAGAAUAUCUAGGUAUGAUCAUGUAUAUAGGCAUCACGUCCGCGACAAGUAGACCGACUCCUGCCUGCAUCUACUACUAUUACUCCACACAUCGACCGCUAUCCAGCAUGCAUCUAGAGUAUUAAGUUCAAAAGAACAGAGUAACAAUUUAAGUAAGAUGACAUGAUGUAGAGGGAUAAACUCAUGCAAUAUGAUAUAAACCCCAUCUUGUUAUCCUCGAUGGCAACAAUACAAUACGUGCCUUGCUGCCCCUACUGACACUGGGAAAGGACACCGCAAGAUUGAACCCAAAGCUAAGCACUUCUCCCAUUGCAAGAAAGAUCAAUCUAGUAGGCCAAACCAAACUGAUAAUUCGAAGAGACUUGCAAAGAUAACCAAUCAUACAUAAAAGAAUUCACAGAAGAUUCAAAUAUUGUUCAUAGAUAAACUUGAUCAUAAACCCACAAUUCAUCGGUCUCAACAAACACACCGCAAAAGAAGAUUACAUCGAAUAGAUCUCCACAAGAGAGGUGGAGAACAUUGUAUUGAGAUCCAAAAAGAGAGAAGAAGCCAUCUAGCUAAUAACUAUGGACCCGAAGGUCUGAGGUAAAUUACUCACACAUCAUCGGAGAGGCUAUGGUGUUGAUGUAGAAGCCCUCCGUGAUCAAUGCCCCCUCCGGCAGGACGCCGGAAAAGGCCCCAAGAUGGGAUCUCACGGGUACAGAAGGUUGCGGCGGUGGAAUUAGGUUUUCGUGGAUGCUUAUGUUGGUUUGGGGGUACGUAGGUAUAUAUAGGAGGAAGAAGUACGUCGGUGGAGCAACGUGGGCCCCACGAGGGUGGAGGGCGCGCCCAGGAGGGUAGGCGCGCCCCCUACCUCGUGCCCUCCUGGUUGAUGUCUUGACUUAGGGUCCAAGUCCUCUGGAUCACGUUUGUUCCGAAAAUCACGUUCCCGAAGGUUUCAUUUCGUUUGGACUCCGUUUGAUAUUCUUUUUCUGCAAAACUCUGAAAUAGGCAAAAAAACAACAAUUUGGGUUGGGCCUCCGGUUAAUAGGUUAGUCCCAAAAAUAAUAUGAAAGUGUAUAACAAAGCCCAAUAAUCAUCCAAAACAGAAUAUAAUUAGCAUGAAUCAAUCAAAAAUUAUAGCUACGUUGGAGACGUAUCAAGCAUCCCCAAGCUUAAUUCCUGCUCGUCCUCGAGUAGGUAAAUGAUAAAAACAGAAUUUUUGAUGCGGAAUGCUACUUGGCAUAAUUUUUAAUGUAACCCUCUUAAUUGUGGUAUGAAUAUUCAGACCCGAAAGAUUCAAGAUAAAAGUUUAAUAUUGACAUAAAAGCAAUAAUACUUCAAGCAUACUAACUAAGCAAUUAUGUCUUCUCAAAAUAACAUGGCCAAAGAAAGUUCAUCCCUACAAAAUCAUAUAGUUUAGUCAUGCUCCAUUUUCGUCACACAAGAAUGCUCUCAUCAUGCACAACCCCGAUGACAAGCCAAGCAAUUGUUUCAUACUUUAGUAAUCUCAAACUUUUUCAACCUUCACGCAAUACAUGAGCGUGAGCCAUGGAUAUAGCACUAUGGGUGGAAUAGAAUAUAAUGAUGGGGGUUAUGUGGAGAAGACAAAAAAGGAGAAAGUCUCACAUCAACGCGGCUAAUCAACGGGCUAUGGAGAUGCCCAUCGAUUGAUGUUAAUGCAAGGAGUAGGGAUUGCCAUGCAACGGAUGCACUAGAGCUAUAAAUGCAUGAAAGCUCAACAAAAGAAACUAAGUGGGUGUGCAUCCAACUUGCUUGCUCACGAAGACCUAGGGCAUUUAAGGAAGCCCAUUGUUGGAAUAUACAAGCCAAGUUCUAUAAUGAAAAAUUCCCACUAGUAUAUGAAAGUGACGAAACAAGAGACUCUCUAUCAUGAAAAUCAUGGUGCUACUUUGAAGCACAAGUGCGGAAAAAGGAUAGUAGCAUUGUCCCUUUUUAUUUUCUUUUUUUGGGCCUUCUUUUUUUAUUUGGCCUUUCUUCUUUUUUUGGGACAAUGCUCUAUGAAUGAUGAUCAUCACACUUCUAUUUAUUUACAACUCAAUGAUUAUAACUCGAUACUAGAACAAAGUAUGACUCUAUAUGAAUGCCUCCGGCGGUAUACCGGGAUAACAAUGAAUCAAGAGUGACAUGUAUGAAAAAUUAUGAACGGUGGCUUUGCCACAAAUACGUUGUCAACUACAUGAUCAUGCAAAGCAAUAUGACAUUGAUGAACGUGUCAUGAUAAACGGAACGGUGGAAAGUUGCAUGGCAAUAUAUCUCGGAAUGGCUAUGGAAAUGCCAUAAUAGGUAGGUAUGGGGGCUGUUUUGAGGAAGGUAUAAGGAGGUUUAUGUGUGAUAUAGCAUAUCAUAUCACGGGGUUUGGAUGCACCGGCGAAGUUUGCACCAACUCUCAAGGUGAGAAAGGGCAAUGCACGGUACCGAAGAGGCUAGCAAUGAUGGAAGGGUGUGAGUGGGUAUAAUCCAUGUACUCAACAUUAGUCAUAAAGAACUCACAUACUUAUUGCAAAAAUCUACAAGUCAUCAAAACCAAGCUACGUGCAUGCUCCUAGGGGGAUAGAUUGGUAGGAAAAGACCAUCGCUCGUCCCCGACCGCCACUCAUAAGGAAAGCAAUCAAAGAACACCUCAUGCUUCAAAUUUGUCACACAACGUUUACCAUACGUGCAUGCUCCUAGGGGGAUAGAUUGGUAGGAAAAGUCCAUCGCUCGUCCCCGACCACCACUCAUAAGGAAGACAAUCAAUAAAUAAAUCAUGCUCCGACUUCAUCACAUAACGGUUCACCAUACGUGCAUGCUACGGGAAUCACAAACUUUAACACAAGUAUUUCUCAAAUUCAUAACCACUCAACUAGCAUGACUCUAAUAUCACCAUCUUCAUAUCUCAAAACAAUUAUCAAGCAUCAAACUUUUCUUAGUAUUCAACGCACUUAUAAGAAAGUUUUUACUAAUCUUGGAUGCCUAUCAUAUUAGGACUACCUUCUCAAUUUAAGAAAAUUACCAUGCUGUUUUGUAGGACUCUCAAAAUAAUAUAAGUGAAGCAUGAGAGAACAAUAGUUUCUAUAAAACAAAACCACCGGCGUGCUCUAAAAGAUAUAAGUGAAGCACUAGAGCAAAAACUAUAUAGCUCAAAAGAUAUAAGUGAAGCACAUAGAGUAUUCUAAUAAAUUCCGAAUCAUGUGUGUCUCUCUCAAAAGGGUGUGUACAUCAAGGAUGAUUGUGGAAAACUAACAAACAAAGACUCAAAUCAUACAAGACGCUCCAAGCAAAACACAUAUCAUGUGGUGAAUAAAAAUAUAGCUCCAAGUAAAGUUACCGAUGGAAGUAGACGAAAGAGGGGAUGCCUUCCGGGGUAUCCCCAAGCUUUGGCUUUUUGGUGUCCUUAGAUUAUCUUGGGGUGCCAUGGGCACCCCCAAGCUUAGGCUCUUGCCACUCCUUGUUCCAUAAUCCAUCGAAUCUUUUACCCAAAACUUGAAAACUUCACAACACAAAACUUAACAGAAAAUCUCGUGAGCUCCGUUAGCGAAAGAAAACAAAACACCACCUCAAGGUACUAUAAUUAACUCAUUCUUUAUUUAUAUUGGUGUUAAACCUACUGUAUUCCAACUUAUCUAUGGUUUAUAAACUAUUUUACUAGCCAUAGAUUCAUCAAAAUAAGCAAACAACACACGAAAAACAGAAUCUGUGAAAAACAGAACAGUCUGUAGUAAUCUGUAACUAACGCAAACUUAUGGAACUCAAAAAAUUCAGCCAAAAUAGGAAGACCUAGAAAAUUUGUUUAUUGAUUAGCAGCAAUUGGAAUCAAUAUUUUAUCACGUUCUGGUGAUUUUUAACAAUUAUUUUCGUGAACAGAAAGUUUCUGGAACUUUCAGCAAGAUCAAAUAACUAUCAUCCAAGAAGAUCCUAUAGGUUUAACUUGGCACAAACACUAAUUAAAACAUAAAUCUAACCAGAGGCUAGAUCAAAGAUUUAUUCCUAAACAGAAGCAAAAAGCAAAAAACUAAAAAUAAAAUUGGGUUGCCUCCCAACAAGCGCUAUCGUUUAACGCCCCUAGCUAGGCAUUGAUAAUUUCGAUGAUGCUCACAUGAAAGAUAGCAAUUGAAACACGAAGGGGGCAUCAUGAAGCAUAUGAAAAUCACAUCUAAGUCUAACAUACUUCCUAUGCAUAGGCAUUAUAUAAGCAAACAAAUUAGCAAGACAAGCAAGAUCUAGCAUAUGCAAGGAAGAAGAAAGAAACAAUAGCAAUCUCAACAUAACGAGAGGGAAUUUAGUGACAUGAAAAUUUCUACAACCAUAUUUUCCUCUCUCAUAAUAAUUACAUGUAGGAUCAUAAGCAAAUUCAACAAUAUAUCUAUCACAAAACAUAUUCUUAACACGAUCCACAUGCAUGCGAAGUUGACACUCUUCCAAAAUAGUGGGAUUAAUACUAACUAAAGUCAUGACCUCUCCAAACCCACUUUUAUCAAAAACUUCAUAAGAUUGAACAUUCUCCAAAUAUGUGGGAUCUAAAGCUGACACUCUUCCAAACCCACUUUCAAUAUUAUUGCAAACAUUAUUAUCAAUCUCAUAUUCAUCAUGGGGCUUAAAUAAAUUUUCAAGAUCAUAAGAAGAACUAUCACCCCAAUCAUGAUCAUUGCAACAAGUAGAGGACAAAGCAAAACUAGCAUCCCCAAGCUUAGGGUUUUGCAUAUUUUUAGCACAAUUGACAUCAAUAGAAUUUAUAAUAAAAUCAUUGCAAUCAUGCUUUUUAUUCAAAGAUCUAUCGUGAAUCGCUUCAUAAAGCACUUCAUCACAAUUUUCAGAUUCACGAAUUUCAAGCAAAACCUCAUAAAGAUAAUCUAGUGCACUCAAUUCACUAGCAAUAGGUUCAUCAUAAUUGGAUCUCUUAAAGCAAGCGAAGAUGCAAGCAAAAAGAAGGUACAUGGUAACACAAGCAAACAAAAGAUCGAACGGAAGAACGGCGAAUAAAACGGCAAGGGUGAAGUGGGGGAGAGGAAAACGAGAGGCAAAUGGCAAAUAAUGUAAUGCGGGAGAUAAGAGUUUGUGAUGGGUACUUGGUAUGUUGACUUUUGCGCAGACUCCCCGGCAACGACACCAUAAAUCCUUCUUGCUACCUCUUGAGCACUGCAUUGGUUUUCCCUUGAAGAGGAAAGGGUGAUGCAGUAAAGUAGCGUAAGUAUUUCCCUCAGUUUUUGAGAACCAAGGUAUCAAUCCAGUAGGAGGCCACGCCCAAGUCCCUUGCACCUACACAAACAAAUAUAAACCUCGCAACCAACGCAAUAAAGGGGUUGUCAAUCCCUUCACGGUCACUUACGAAAGUGAGAUCUGAUAGAUAUGAUAAGAUAAUAUUUUUGGUAUUUUUAUAAUAAAGACUAAAAGUAAAGAAAACAAAAUAAAC
This 6017-nucleotide long non-coding RNA is filed under the name Triticum aestivum (bread wheat). RNAcentral's name for it is "long non-coding RNA (TAES_LNC013617)". Lineage: Eukaryota; Viridiplantae; Streptophyta; Magnoliopsida; Poales; Poaceae. The record is from RNAcentral.